GUGCUCACUUGGGUAGCAUGUAUGCUAAAAUUGGAAUGGUGCAGAGCUCAGCACAGCCCCUGCACAAGGAUGACAUGCAGAGAGACGAUCUACUCUCCCUGUCA
Small nuclear RNA from Psammomys obesus (fat sand rat), 104 nucleotides. The record is from RefSeq and is a predicted model, not a curated record. Lineage: Eukaryota; Metazoa; Chordata; Mammalia; Rodentia; Muridae.